This 351-nucleotide transfer-messenger RNA is filed under the name Deltaproteobacteria bacterium. It matches the Rfam family "transfer-messenger RNA". Rfam says of the family: Bacterial tmRNA, also known as 10Sa RNA or SsrA, is named for its dual tRNA and mRNA-like properties. The record is from RNAcentral. Lineage: Bacteria; Pseudomonadati; Myxococcota; Myxococcia.
GGGGGCGAAAAGGGUUCGACGGGGGUAGGGAGAUAAGGAGUGCAUGCCGAGGUCCCACACCUCGUUAAACAGUGGGGAACCAAUAAGUGCCGACAACUAUGAGUACGCCCUGGCUGCCUAAUUGAUGCAGCCACGUCCUGUGGGGUUUGCCUGCAGGCCCCACAUGGGCGCCAGCGAUGCAGGCUGGUCCUUGCCGAUGCUUAUAAGGCAAGGAUGAGAUCCGAAUAAGCUAGCCUCCAGCGGAUCCUGCCUGUGGGAGCCUUGGAGGCGAAAGGAAAACACAGGCUAAGCAUGUAGGGCUCCUUACCGAACUGCCCUCGGACGCGGGUUCGAUUCCCGCCGCCUCCACCA